CCUACGGGAGGCUGCAGUGAGGAAUAUUGGUCAAUGGGCGGAAGCCUGAACCAGCCAAGUCGCGUGAGGGAUUAAGGCCCUGCGGGUCGUAAACCUCUUUUGCCGGGGAGCAGUGGUCGGGACGCGUCCGGACCGGGAGAGUACCCGGAGAAAAAGCAUCGGCUAACUCCGUGCCAGCAGCCGCGGUAAUACGGGGGAUGCGAGCGGUAUCCGGAUUUAUGGGGUUUAAAGGGUGCGUAGGCGGGCAUUUAAGCCGGCGGUCAAAUGUCGGGGCGCAACCCCGGCCUGCCGUCGGAACUGGGGGCCUUGAGUGGGCGAGAAGUAUGCGGAAUGCGUGGUGUAGCGGUGAAAUGCAUAGAUAUCACGCAGAACCCCGAUUGCGAAGGCAGCAUACCGGCGCCCUACUGACGCUGAGGCACGAAAGUGCGGGGAUCGAACAGGAUUAGAUACCCUUGUAGUC
This 460-nucleotide ribosomal RNA is filed under the name uncultured bacterium. RNAcentral describes it as "partial 16S ribosomal RNA". It matches the Rfam family "Bacterial small subunit ribosomal RNA", at positions 338 to 795 of the family's 1533-position model. The record is from RNAcentral.